CAGGAGGAGGGAAAAACAGGGCCACAGGCUGGGCAUGACACAUCUUGUUACCCAUGCAAUGUUGGGGUCAGAGAGUGUAGAGAGUGGUGUGGGGAGAGUGCAGGCUGAAGAGUUACCUAAGGUCAAAAUCCUGACCUAUGAGCCAAGCCAUCGAUUUGGGAUUUCUACUGAGGACACUGGAAGUCACUAAGAGCAUCUGAAUGGUUAUGUGAAGUUGGCAGUUCCCAAGGGCUUUAGGCUUGAAGCUGUGGGUCAUACCCCUUCGGAAACUUGGUCCCCAAGAGAAAUGUAUGCUUCUGAAAACCACAGCAAAAGCAUUCCUACACGUUGAGGCCUGCCAGCGUGGGUGUCACCCAGGAGCCACUCGGAAAGGCUCAUCGGAAACCACCCCGGACUGACUGAGGCAGAAUCUCUGGGGGCAGGACCCAGGCCUCAGCAUAAAAACUCCAGGUGACGGAAGAGCUCCCACCUAACAGAAAGAAAAUAAAAGAGACUGAGAAACCACAGAAAUAAAGAAGCGCUGAUGACAAUGCCUGCUUGCUGAUGGUUACGAUGAUCAUAGCAGUGUGCAUUUUGUAUGCAUGAAGCCUGCGACUAAAUAAACGUGUGGGGAAAUAUUUGUAAGGAAAUAAGCUAUUAAUAAAAUAAGCUAAAAUCACAGUUGCUGGACUAUGACUGAUUUUUCCCCUUUCUCUCAUUUAAAAUUAAAUAUUUGUAUGACUUGUAUAAUAGAAAAAUACAUGUAUUCAAUCUUAAAAAGAUAUUCUUAUUUUACACUUUACGGGACAAAAGAGGUUGUAGGUUGGAAUGGUUCAGUCCCCUUGUGACAACUCAAAAACAGAGACCUUAAGCCUUUCUCAACCAAUGUUGCGGGACAAGCAGGCGUGUGAGGCGACAAUGCCAUUAGGGUAUUUUUUGGAAAAAUUUUAGUGUGAGAGACAAAAGCCAAAUUCAAACUGGCCUGAGCCAAAAUAGGUAGGAAAGGGAGAAGCGGAGACAGGGAGGAAGAAAGAGAGAGAACAGAAAGAAAAAGGGAGAAAUGUCGAAAGGCAAAAUUACAACACAUUUAGUUAAAUGAUUGAAUUGGUUUUUAUUUGUAAUUCAUGAAUUGGGGCAGCAUCUCCUCUAAAACUUUAGGAAAAGUGCUCUGAUGAGCUAAACAGAGAAGCUUGGCUUUAUAGGCAGAAAAGGGUGAAGAAAGCAGACACAGGGAACAAAAAGCAGAUUGGUAAGCUCAGGUUACUUCAGGUUACUUUCCUUAUAAAGGUUAAAGUAGAGGGGACUUCCUUAUCAUGCUGGCUACAACUGGCCUGUUUGGGGAUUUGCAUAUUAUCUCUCUCUGUCUUGAGUUCUGGGAAGGUCUGAUGACUUAGUUUCAGUUUGGUGAUAUGGAACUUAGCAUGAGUGACUCCAUCUUGGUUUGGUCUACUGGGGCCUCCUGCAGGAGCUCAGCCCAAAUCAGUGACCUCCUAUAAAUUUCAUUUAAUAGAAAAGGAAGGAAGGAAGGAAGGAAGGAAGGAAGGAAGGAAGGAAGGAAGGAAGGGAGGGAGGGAGGGAGGGAGGGAGGGAGGAAGGGAGGAAAGAAGGAAGGAAAGAAAGAAAGUUGCUUAUAAGUUGCUUAUAACUAAAAAGACCAGCUGGACCCAGGAGCUCUGAGGUUGCUUUCAGGCCUCUGUCCAUCUCUUAGUUUUCCAUCCUCAGACAGGCUCUGCCCUGCCUUACAGUCUAGCAUUGUUGGCCAAAGGUGACUGACUGGCCCAGCUUGGGCUAUAUGUCCUUCCCUGUGGCCAGAGAGAUGUGUCUCUGUGAUGGCCAGGCUUGGGUCACGUACUCCCUCCCCUACCAGAAUCACAUGAAAAGAGGGAGGAAGAGCCGCUUUCCACCAAAGGAAACUGAAGUGCUAUUGUCAGAGGGGUUGCUGGGCAGACCAAAAAGAUGACAAUAUCUGCUCCAAUCGCUCGGGUUGUUGGUGCUUGGCAGAUUUGCCCCUACGUCACUUUUCAGAUGUGGAUAAGACUGAAGGUGACCACAGGCUUCCGAGAGGAAAGCUGCCAAUGGGGGUGUGAGAGGAGGGGGAAUUCUUACUCACCAAGGUUAACACUGUGCACACUGUUCUCCGAGGAAGUGGGAAUUUCCACAUGGUGAGUUCCCUUCCCUGUACAAUGAAUUACUAUCUUGAUGAGAAACCCGUGGGCAGCUGGUUGAGAAGAGAAAGGUAUUCUCUGAAUGAGAGGGAAUUUACCACCUUCCUUUCAAUGGUGACAGUUUUUUCUGGUGUCACCGCAGGGUGUGGAUUGAUUCAUAUACAAAUAUACAUAUCUACAUAGAUGCCAUUCUGCUAGCCUCUGCAAAAUGCAUGCCUGGAGACCAUUUCUGCUGCCUAGGAGAUGUCAACUUUGUCACCACCACUCUCUCUCCACCACUCCCACACCCUGCAGGGGCCAGGUGUGUGGGUGGGGAGCUCCCCAGCUGGAGGCCAGAUUAGAGGUCUCUGUGUGGUGGGGAUGGGGAGGAUGGGGUGGGAAUGAGGUGGUAGGCCACUGGCAGUGGUCCAAGUUCCAUCCAGGAUCUGUCCUAGGCCUCUCCCCAGGCUGUCGCUUCCACCAUUGAAUUUCUAACCUGGAUCUCUAAGGUUAUGAAUAUCUCAUUCCCGCAUCCUGGGGUGCUCAGACAUGUCUCCCCUGAGUCUCUAGCUGGGCUCGUGGCUGUGAUCAUUGUCCUCAGAGUUCCAUCCUCCCAACAAAGGGACAGAAGAAACACAGGGCCCACUUUUCUGGAUUCUGAGUUGGAGCCAAGAAAUUCUAUCUGCUGCUUCCUUCCUGUUGAAUUAUCCCCCAAGGACCCCUUAGUCCCUCCAGUCUCCUCCAGAGGCCUAUAGCUGCCCCAGCUCCCCAUGAUGGAUACCUGGCUCUUUCCUACCCAGAGGAAAACGCAGGCCCUUCCCCAGCCCUGCACUGAACUCCUGUGAGUGGCUGAGGAGAUGAGGAGGUGUGAAGAGUGAGUGUGUUGGGGAGGGAGGGGUCCCCUGCCACCAGGUACCAAGGACUUCUGCCAGAUCACCAGAACUGACACCUGGUUCCACCGGCCAGCUGUGAAGUGUCGGCCCUGACAUCAACAGCUGACCUCCCACAGGGCCUAAGGAAACGGAAUUGUGG
This 3155-nucleotide long non-coding RNA is filed under the name Homo sapiens (human). Its description in RNAcentral is "HSALNT0141047". The record is from RNAcentral. Lineage: Eukaryota; Metazoa; Chordata; Mammalia; Primates; Hominidae.